AUUCGUAUGGACCAAAAUGUCAUCAUGUGGCGUUCUACACUGCAAGUCCCCAUCGGGUCAAUCUCCAACGAGAUAAUAAUAAGGUCCAAGAGUUUCUAUCGAUACAAAGUGGACAUCUGUAAGUUUGGUUUAGUUUGGUAGAGAUUAUUAGAGGCUAAAAUGAAUUCUCUAAAUAGCCACAGUUGGUUUGUGGUGUGUAGUAAAAACAAGAAAAAGUACUUUUAAAAGAAUUUUUGAAUAAGUUAGGGCCAAAAUCAGAAGCAGUCUUUGGGCUGCUUCUGAUUGUAGAACAAGUUUGAUUUAAUGAAACUUUUGUUAUUCUCCAUUUACCCCUGUUGAAUGAAAAAAAUCCCACGCCAUUACCAGGUACUGUUCUCUCUUCUCUCACGAGUUCUCUCGUCUCCCUCUCUGCUCUCUCCGAAAUCAAGCUCUUCCCUCUUUGUUCUCUCGUUCUCCCUUUGUGCUUUACAGGGUUUUAAUCUCUGCCUGUGAUUGAAGUUUUGGUGGACUCUCUCUCCCUUCUCUCAGUCAUACAUGGCUGUGGUGGUUAGGGUUUCCUGAUUGUGGGAUUGCCGGUUGGAGCUCAACAGAUCCAAGAGUAUCGCCGCUAAACUGUCCGAUUGAUCUGAAGGAAGCGAUUUCAAGUGUAAUAUUUGCAUCUUCGAGAUGUGUAGAUGUACCGGAACUAACGGAUAUCAGGAAGCAUUUAACAGUAAAAUAUGGAAAGGAAUUUAUUACUAUAGCUAUCGAAUUGCGUCGAGAUUGUGGCGUAAAUUGCAUGUUGGAGAAAUUAUCUGCCAAGGCACCCGAUGGUCAGACCAAGCUUAAAAUCUUAACUGCGAUUGCAGAGGAACAUAGUUAUUGUAGGCGUUUUCGUUUACGAAGCAAGUUAUUCGUUUACGAAGCUAGUUAUUCAUUUAUGAAGAGAAUCAACCAGAGGACAAUGUAGAAGAAAAUCAAGCUUUAUUAUCACAAGAAAUGGAUGAAGUACGAGAUCAAAUUGCAGCAAGUUUAAUGAGCAUGAUUUAAUUCUUUUAAUGCCUCUCAGUUGUUGAACAUAGAAUGUACAUUUUUGUUGUAUACGUUGAUUACUCACUAAUGCUCUUUUUUGUUGUAACUAU
Long non-coding RNA from Morus notabilis, 1121 nucleotides. RefSeq lists it as uncharacterized. The record is from RefSeq and is a predicted model, not a curated record. NCBI's taxonomy places the organism in Eukaryota, Viridiplantae, Streptophyta, Magnoliopsida, Rosales, Moraceae. The transcript is spliced from 3 exons.